CUCUUUGUGAUUUCCCAUGUAGCAUUUGCCUGCCCUUGGAUAGAAUAUUUGGAUGAAUUUUGGGGUCACCUCAGGUACAGCCUCUGCUCUGCAAGCUAAAGUUCAUGAACUGUGUUUACCUGUUGGAAAGUCAGAAUGGCAGAGGGGAAAGGCACUAAGCUAGAGCACUCGGGGAAUGGACAAGUGGACAGACAUUCUUUUCUGAGAGGCAGGAAUGACCUAGACAUUCCGAAAUUGAAAGCCAGAUGUUGGGAUAAAACUCUAGACUCAAUUUGAAUCGUAGGAGUGUUGACAACCUUGAUGAAAUCCUAUGACUAAAACUUUCUAGAGUAGAGGGGAAUUAAUGGGGCCUAAGUAGGGUAACCCACCUUGAAAAUAACCAGAUCCCUCUAUUUAUAUCAGAAACAAAUGUUUGGACUCUUUAAGUGCCAUGGUCUGAAUGUUUGUGUCUCCCCCAAAAUUCAUAUAUUGAAACCUAAUCCCCAACGUGGUGGUAAUUGAAGGCAGAGCCUUUAGGUGGUAAUUAGGUCAUGAGGGCAGAGCCCUCAUGAAUGGGAUUAGUGCCCUUAUAAAAGAGGGCAGAGGGAGCUUGUUUGGCCCUUCAGCCAUGUGAAGACGCAGCAAGAAAGUGCCAUCCAUGAAGCAGAGAGUGAGACCCCAUCAGACACUGAGUCUGCUGAUGCCUUGAUCUGGGACUUCCCAGCCUUCAGAACUGAGCUGUAACACUCACUGUGAAGGUCUGUGGCUUCACCCCUGAAGUCAGCGAGACCACGAACCCACUGGGAGGAAUGAACAACUCCGGACGUGUCACCUUUAAGAGCUGUAACACUCACUGCGAAGGUCUGCGGCUUCACUCCUGAAGUCCAGCGAGACCACGAACCCACUGGAAGGAAGAAACUGUGGACACAUCUGAAGGAACAAACUCCGGACACACUAUCUUUAAGAACUGUAACACUCACCACGAGGGUCCGCGGCUUCAUUCUUGAAGUCAGCGAGACCAAGAACCCACCCAAAGGAACCAAUUCCGGACACAGGGUGGAGGAGGGGGUGAAGGUUAAUGUGCAAUUUCUAGAUGAGAAUGCCUGUGGCUUCUCUUAACCACAUAAAUGAACAAGCACUGGCAGAGAGACAGAUGGCUUAGCUGGCCCAGAGCAGCCCCAGUGCUCUUAGGGAAGGAAAAGAGCCCCCUUCACUUCACUUCAGUUCCUCCUUUCCCCAGCAGGGUGAGCAACCCCUAAAGACCAUCGUUAUUUUGAGGGCUUUUGUUUAAGUAUAGCACAUAUAUUAGAAUGUACUAUGGUGAUGGCCUAUGGUGCUCUUGAAUUGUUUCAUAAAUAUUUAUCCUGAAUCCCCAGAAAGAUUAGAAACUCAUUGAGAGCCAGAUCCAGUAUCCAUGCUGCUUCUAUGUCUCAAAAGGCUUAACUGAGGCACAGAGUAAAUGGUCAGUCAUUAUGGGUAUGAUUGAAUGAAAAAAUAAAUCCUUAAUUUUGAAACUCAAUACAACCUGGUUUUACAGAUGUGAGGAUAAUGAUAUGGCAUAUUCAAAGGACGUAGAAAGGAGUUAGGAACUGGCAAAAGAGUUUAAACCAUCAAGAGUAGCUCCGUUGUAUGAAAAAAGCAUACCCCCCUCAAAC
Molecule: long non-coding RNA, 1634 nt
Filed under: Homo sapiens (human)
Lineage: Eukaryota; Metazoa; Chordata; Mammalia; Primates; Hominidae
Description: HSALNT0408473
Source: RNAcentral